RNAcentral lists this ribosomal RNA (876 nucleotides) under Selinia pulchra. RNAcentral's name for it is "eukaryotic LSU rRNA". It matches the Rfam family "Eukaryotic large subunit ribosomal RNA", at positions 51 to 958 of the family's 3401-position model. The record is from RNAcentral. Lineage: Eukaryota; Fungi; Ascomycota; Sordariomycetes; Hypocreales; Bionectriaceae.
CGGAGGAAAAGAAACCAACAGGGAUUGCCUCAGUAACGGCGAGUGAAGCGGCAACAGCUCAAAUUUGAAAUCUGGCCCCCAGGCCCGAGUUGUAAUUUGCAGAGGAUGUUUCUGGCGCGGUGCCUUCCGAGUUCCCUGGAACGGGACGCCAUAGAGGGUGAGAGCCCCGUACGGUUGGCCGCCAAGCCUAUGUGAAACUCCUUCGACGAGUCGAGUAGUUUGGGAAUGCUGCUCUAAAUGGGAGGUAUACGUCUUCUAAAGCUAAAUACCGGCUAGAGACCGAUAGCGCACAAGUAGAGUGAUCGAAAGAUGAAAAGCACUUUGAAAAGAGGGUUAAAUAGUACGUGAAAUUGUUGAAAGGGAAGCGCUCAUGACCAGACUUGGGCCGGUUGAUCAUCCGCCGUUCUCGGUGGUGCACUCUGCCGGCUCAGGCCAGCAUCAGUUUGGCCCGGGGGAUAAAGGCGUCGGGAAUGUGGCUCCCUCCGGGGAGUGUUAUAGCCCGUCGCGUAAUACCCUGGGCUGGACUGAGGACCGCGCUUCGGCAAGGAUGCUGGCGUAAUGGUCAUCAGUGACCCGUCUUGAAACACGGACCAAGGAGUCGUCUUCGUAUGCGAGUGUUCGGGUGUCAAACCCCUACGCGGAAUGAAAGUAAACGUAGGAGAGAGCUUCGGCGCAUCUCCGACCGAUCCUGAUGUUCUCGGAUGGAUUUGAGUAAGAGCAUACGGGGCCGGACCCGAAAGAAGGUGAACUAUGCCUGUAUAGGGUGAAGCCAGAGGAAACUCUGGUGGAGGCUCGCAGCGGUUCUGACGUGCAAAUCGAUCGUCAAAUAUGGGCAUGGGGGCGAAAGACUAAUCGAACCUUCUAGUAGCUGGUUCC